RNAcentral lists this long non-coding RNA (1337 nucleotides) under Monodelphis domestica (gray short-tailed opossum). Its description in RNAcentral is "lncRNA (ENSMODG00000031789.2)". The record is from RNAcentral. Lineage: Eukaryota; Metazoa; Chordata; Mammalia; Didelphimorphia; Didelphidae.
AUGGUGUGGGAGCUCAGACUAAGAACAGCUACGUGGAGAGAGUCCCAAGGGGCCAGCAUGGGAAAAGACCCUGGAGGCCGCGGAGUCUUACAGAGGGCAUGCGGUGGUUCUUCAGCAUCAGAAAGUCAGAUAACAGCGCUUGGGGAAAUGAGGCGGCCGGACCUAGAAACCAGGAUUGGCACUCCCAGGCCGGGAACGCUCCCUCCUUCACCCUGGCCUCCCCCGCUCAUUCACCUGCAUGCGGACACUAAUUGGAAGAAGCCAAAUGUUCUGUUUAUCACAUCCUAUGGAGCAGCUGGAAAAGGUACUGGAGGGCUCAUCUUGGACUCAAGAAUGGCUCUUACUAGCUGUGGAACCCUGGACAAGUCUCUGCACCAACUCAGGCCUCUGUCUUUAAAAUGGGGAUGACAAUCUCACUUGUCCCCUUUCUUUCCACUCACUACCCCCCAUCCCCCGCACUGGUUCCCACCUAAAGGAAUUGGUUCCUGUUUUCCUGCUCCCUGCAACUGUCAUGAGCAUCUUUUUGUAUGAUGAGUCAGUCUGGCUGUGCUACUCUUCUGAUCAAAAAUGUUCUGUGGUUCCCUGGAUAAAAUAUAUAUUUCUCAGCCUGACCUAGCAAGCCUUCCACAAGGGUGCUAAAGGGAGUUUUCUGCCUUAUUUCAUGUUAUUUACCUCUGUCCACUAUUCUCUACCUCCUGUCACCAUUUUCCACAAAGUCUACAUUAAAAGCCACCUGUAGGAACAUUCCCACUGGACAUGCUCCUCCUGUCUUCCUGGGGUCUAGUCAGGCAGGGCUCCCUUCGUGCCCAUCCCUUCCCCCUUGAAGAGUGACCCUUUGGUUUCUGACUCCUCGGGCUGGCCACACAGGAAGUGCUUUAUAAAGCUGAACAACUUAUCCAUCGUGGGCUCCCUUCCUCUGCCUCCCCUCAAGAAAAAUGCCUUUGAACAAGAAGCCAAUGGAGCAGGGGACCCCGAUAUUCUCUGGUACUCUUCUGUGAGAAUUCUAUCUCCCCUUGACCAGGACUUCCAGGGGGCUGAGAGGUCUCUGUCCCACCAGAAGGGUCUUCGCCCUCACCCCAUCCUCUCCCUUGCCUACCUAGCCAGGCUUGACAAUCUGCUCUGCAGACCCCCCAGUGCCCAGUGGAUAGAAGUUGUGAGGGUCUUCAUAGACACAGCCCCAAAGCUCAAGACCUAGGACUCAGGAACCAGGUAGCUCAUUCCCCACCUGAGGGACCUUGGCAAAAGCACUUUCCCUCUUUGGGCCUCAGUCUCCCCAUCCUAAAAUAGGGCAUCCCCAUGUCCUAAAGGGUUGCAACACUCUAGUCCUCUCUAUUCCC